CCCUUAGAUGUUCUGGGCUGCACGCGUGCUACACUGAUUACUUCAACAAGUGUUUUAACUGGAGAGUUCGCGUAAUCCUGAAAUGUUAUCGUGAUGGGAGUAGAGUAUUGUAUUUGUUAAUCUUUAACGAGGAAUUCCUAGUAAGUGUAGGUUUAUAAGUUGUUCUGAUUACGUCCCUGCCCUUUGUACACACCGCCCGUCGCUCCUACCGAUUGAUUGAUCCGGUGAAUUACAUAGAAUUUUGCGUUUUACAUGACGGAAGAGGAAGUGUUUUAAACCUUAUCAUUUAGAGGAAGGAGAAGUCGUAACA
This 310-nucleotide ribosomal RNA is filed under the name uncultured eukaryote. Its description in RNAcentral is "partial 18S ribosomal RNA". It matches the Rfam family "Eukaryotic small subunit ribosomal RNA", at positions 1470 to 1796 of the family's 1831-position model. The record is from RNAcentral.